CAGCCGCCGCGGGAAUACGUAGGUGGCAAGCGUUGUCCGGAAUUAUUGGGCGUAAAGGGCUCGCAGGCGGUUUCUUAAGUCUGAUGUGAAAGCCCCCGGCUCAACCGGGGAGGGUCAUUGGAAACUGGGAAACUUGAGUGCAGAAGAGGAGAGUGGAAUUCCACGUGUAGCGGCGAAAUGCGUAGAGAUGUGGAGGAACACCAGUGGCGAAGGCGACUCUCUGGUCUGUAACUGACGCUGAGGAGCGAAAGCGUGGGGAGCGAACAGGAUUAGAUACCCCUGUAGUCCCUGUCUCUUAUAA
This 301-nucleotide ribosomal RNA is filed under the name uncultured bacterium. RNAcentral's name for it is "partial 16S ribosomal RNA". It matches the Rfam family "Bacterial small subunit ribosomal RNA", at positions 509 to 809 of the family's 1533-position model. The record is from RNAcentral.